AGCUCAAUGGUAGAGCCCUAGUCUUCCAAACUAGCUACGCGGGUUCGAUUCCCGUC
Molecule: transfer RNA, 56 nt
Filed under: Gordonia bronchialis
Lineage: Bacteria; Bacillati; Actinomycetota; Actinomycetes; Mycobacteriales; Gordoniaceae
Also listed under: 2 other names
Rfam family: tRNA
About the family: Transfer RNA (tRNA) molecules are approximately 80 nucleotides in length.
Source: RNAcentral